CAAUAACGUAUAUUAAUGUUGUUGCAGUUAAAAAGCUCGUAGUUGGAUAUCUGACAAGAGAGGACGGCCCGCCUUCGGGAUGAGCGCUGGAAUCUUGCGUCUAUCUUUCGGUGGUUGUCGCUUAUCCUUUAUUGGACGAGUGUUCACUUCCGGAUCAGUUACUUUGAAUAAAAACGGGUGUUCAACGCAGGCUUAUGCCUUGAAGUAUGCAGCAUGGAAUAGCAACCAUAGGACUAUAGUGUUCUAUUUGUUGGUUCUGGGACCUUAGUAAUGAUUGAUAGGGACAGUUGGGGGUGCUGCUAUUCCGCGGCCAGAGGUGAAAUUCUCAGAUUCCCGGAAGAGCAACUUAUGCGAAAGCAUUCACCAAGGAUGUCUUCUUUAA
This 382-nucleotide ribosomal RNA is filed under the name uncultured eukaryote. RNAcentral's name for it is "partial 18S ribosomal RNA". It matches the Rfam family "Eukaryotic small subunit ribosomal RNA", at positions 592 to 976 of the family's 1831-position model. The record is from RNAcentral.